UAAAGCUACAAAGAGCUAAUGGAGAAUGCCUUGGUACUGACAGCCGAUGAAGGACGUGUAAAGCUGCGAUAAGCUUCGGGGAGUUGCUAAAAGACCUUGAUCCGAAGAAAUCCGAAUGGGGAAACCCUGCGAGGUUAAAACCUUGUAAUCCACAGAUAAAUACAUAGUCUGUGCGAAGGAAAGCCUGUGAACUGAAACAUCUUAGUAACAGGACGAAAAGAAAAUAACCAAAUGAUUCCGAUAGUAGCGGCGAGCGAACUCGGAAGAGCCUAAACAGUAUGUACGUGAUAGACUGCAAUUGUUGUGCAUAUUGGGUUGUGGGACUCACAGUAUGAUUUGCAGAUCAUACAAAGAGUUACAAAGUUAAUUAAUAGCUGAAGACAACUGGGAAGUUGCACCAUAGAGGGUGAUAGUCCUUUAAGCGACAUUAAUUAAUCUCUUGUGAGUAUCCCGAGUAAGGCGGGGCACGUGAAACCCUGUCUGAAUCCACCGGGACCAUCCGGCAAGGCUAAAUACUAGUCAGUGACCGAUAGUGAACGAGUACAGUGAUGGAAAGGCGAAAAGAACAGUGAGAAGCUGAGUGAAAUAGACCCUGAAACCGUUAGCUUACAAUCAGUCAGAGCACUAUUAAUAGUGUGAUGGCGUGCCUGUUGAAGAAUGAGCCGGCGAGUUAUCUUAUGUUGCGAGGUUAAGGAGUUAACAUCCGGAGCCAUAGCGAAAGCGAGUUUGAAAAGAGCGUUAAGUAACAUGCGAUAGACCCGAACCUUGGUGAUCUAACCUUGACCAGGAUGAAGCGUGGGUAACACUACGUGGAGGUCCGAACCAACCGAUGUUGAAAAAUCGGUGGAUGAGUUGAGGUUAGGGGUGAAAUGCCAAUCGAACCAAGAGCUAGCUGGUUCUCCCCGAAAUGCGUUUAGGCACAGCGUCAAAUUUAUCUUACAGGAGGUAGAGCACUGGUUUUGUGCGGGCGACGAAAUGUUGUACCAAACAAUGUCAAACUCCGAAUGCCUGUAAUGUUAUUAUUUGGCAGUGAGGCUAUGAGUGAUAAGAUCCAUGGCCAAGAGGGAAACAGCCCAGAACGCCAGUUAAGGUCCCUAAUAUAUGCUAAGUGGUUAAGGAGGUAAAGUUGCUGAGACAACCAGGAGGUUGGCUUAGAAGCAGCCAUUCCUUGAAAGAGUGCGUAAUAGCUCACUGGUCAAGCGACUUCGCGCCGAAAAUACACCGGGACUCAAGCAUAUAACCGAAACUGCGUCAUAUAGUUUACUAUAUGGGUAGGGGAGCGUUCUAUAUUAGGAUGAAGUAAGAUCGAAAGGACUUAUGGACGAGAUAGAAGUGAGAAUGUCGGCAUAAGUAGCGAAAACAUUGGUGAGAAUCCAAUGCACCGAAAACCUAAGGUUUCCCACGGCAGGCUCGUCCGCGUGGGGUUAGUCGGAUCCUAAGCUGAGGCCGAAAGGCGUAGGCGAUGGGCAUCAGGUUGAUAUUCCUGAACUAUCUAAUAAUCGUUAUUAGAAGCGGAGGGACGCAGUAGGAUAUGCAAGCAGCCGAACGGAAGUGGCUGUAAAGAUGUGUAGGUAGAGCAGGUAGGAAAAUCCGCUUGUUCGUUAUAAACUGAGGCAUCGAGUAGGACAUUCUACGGAAUGGAAGUUGCAGAUUCCACACUGCCAAGAAAAACUUCGCUAUCGAGACUAUUAGGUAUCCGUACCGUAAACCGCCACAGGUAGGUUGGUAGAAAAUACUAAGGUGCGCGAGAUAACUCUCGCUAAGGAACUCGGCAAAAUCACCUCGUAACUUCGGGAGAAGAGGUACCCUGGUAGAGUGAAGCGGUUUACCCGUGGAGCUUGAUAGGGUCGCAGUGAAUUGGCCCAUGCGACUGUUUACCAAAAACACAGGUCUCUGCUAAGUCGAUCAAGACGAUGUAUAGGGGCUGACGCCUGCCCGGUGUCGGAAGGUUACGCGGACAUGUUAGACAUUAGUCAAAGCAUAGAAGCUAAGCCCCGAUGAACGGCGGCCGUAACUAUAACGGUCCUAAGGUAGCGAAAUUCCUUGUCAGGUA
This 2053-nucleotide ribosomal RNA is filed under the name human gut metagenome. RNAcentral describes it as "bacterial LSU rRNA". It matches the Rfam family "Bacterial large subunit ribosomal RNA", at positions 1 to 1978 of the family's 2925-position model. The record is from RNAcentral.